RNAcentral lists this ribosomal RNA (466 nucleotides) under uncultured bacterium. RNAcentral describes it as "partial 16S ribosomal RNA". It matches the Rfam family "Bacterial small subunit ribosomal RNA", at positions 28 to 507 of the family's 1533-position model. The record is from RNAcentral.
GACGAACGCUGGCGGCGCGCCUAACACAUGCAAGUCGAACGAGCGAGCGAGAGCUUGCUUUCUCGAUCGAGUGGCGAACGGGUGAGUAACGCGUGAGUAACCUGCCUCAAAGAGGGGGACAACAGUUGGAAACGACUGCUAAUACCGCAUAAGCCCACGGGUCGGCAUCUACCAGAGGGAAAAGGGGCACUCCGCUUUGAGAUGGCCGCGCGUCCGAUUAGCUAGUUGGUGAGGUAAUGGCCCACCCAGGCGACGAUCGGUGGCCGGACUGAGAGGUUGAACGGUGACAAUGGGAAUAAGGCACAGACAAGAAUGCGACGGGAGGCAGGAGAGGGGAAUAUUGCAAAAGGGGGGAAAACGUGAUGAAGCGACGCCGGGGGGAGGAGGAAGGGCGUCGGAUAGUAAACUCGUGUUGUUGGGGAAGAGAAUGACGGUACCCAACAAGGAAGUGACGGCUAACUACGUG